AACGUGGAGACAUGGAAUAUCGUAAUGGCCAACACGAACACGAGAAGAAGUUACUUAGGAUGUACCAACGAGAUCUUCUUACAUAUCUUCAUUAUUUCUUUAUUCAUCUUAAGAAUUCAUAUCACACAAACAAACACACGGUUUGAUCUCUCUUGCAAGCAGAUGCAGAAGAAAAAACAAACAUAAAGAGACAAAAAAGUUAGAAGCUUUUCA
This 213-nucleotide long non-coding RNA is filed under the name Brassica rapa (field mustard). Its description in RNAcentral is "long non-coding RNA (BRAP_LNC005066)". The record is from RNAcentral. Lineage: Eukaryota; Viridiplantae; Streptophyta; Magnoliopsida; Brassicales; Brassicaceae.